GGGGGACGAACCGUGGGAAACUACGGCUAUUACCGCAUGAUACCUGAGGGUCAAAGGCGCAAGUCGCCUUAGGAGGAGCCUGCGUCUGAUUAGCUUGUUGGUGGGGUAAAGGCCUACCCAAGGCUCCGAUCGGUAGCUGGUCUGAGAGGAUGAUCAGCCACAUUGGGACUGAGACACGGCCCAAACUCCUACGGGAGGCAGCAGUGGGGAAUAUUGGACAAUGGGCGCAAGCCUGAUCCAGCAAUGCCGCGUGGGUGAAGAAGGUCUUCGGAUUGUAAAGCCCUUUUGGCGGGGACGAUGAUGACGGUACCCGCAGAAUAAGCUCCGGCUAACUUCGUG
This 339-nucleotide ribosomal RNA is filed under the name uncultured bacterium. RNAcentral describes it as "bacterial SSU rRNA". It matches the Rfam family "Bacterial small subunit ribosomal RNA", at positions 137 to 507 of the family's 1533-position model. The record is from RNAcentral.